AAUAGUUUAUAGGAAGCUUCUAACUUCUUGAUAGCUAAAGGCUACUA
This 47-nucleotide transfer RNA is filed under the name Trichonephila clavata. RNAcentral's name for it is "tRNA-Ser". Lineage: Eukaryota; Metazoa; Arthropoda; Arachnida; Araneae; Nephilidae. The record is from RNAcentral.